Molecule: ribosomal RNA, 407 nt
Filed under: Rhizobium hidalgonense
Lineage: Bacteria; Pseudomonadati; Pseudomonadota; Alphaproteobacteria; Hyphomicrobiales; Rhizobiaceae
Description: bacterial SSU rRNA
Rfam family: Bacterial small subunit ribosomal RNA
Source: RNAcentral
CUGGCUCAGAACGAACGCUGGCGGCAGGCUUAACACAUGCAAGUCGAGCGCCCCGCAAGGGGAGCGGCAGACGGGUGAGUAACGCGUGGGAAUCUACCCUUGACUACGGAAUAACGCAGGGAAACUUGUGCUAAUACCGUAUGUGUCCUUCGGGAGAAAGAUUUAUCGGUCAAGGAUGAGCCCGCGUUGGAUUAGCUAGUUGGUGGGGUAAAGGCCUACCAAGGCGACGAUCCAUAGCUGGUCUGAGAGGAUGAUCAGCCACAUUGGGACUGAGACACGGCCCAAACUCCUACGGGAGGCAGCAGUGGGGAAUAUUGGACAAUGGGCGCAAGCCUGAUCCAGCCAUGCCGCGUGAGUGAUGAAGGCCCUAGGGUUGUAAAGCUCUUUUCACCGGAGAAGAUAAUGAC